RNAcentral lists this ribosomal RNA (597 nucleotides) under uncultured bacterium. Its description in RNAcentral is "bacterial SSU rRNA". It matches the Rfam family "Bacterial small subunit ribosomal RNA", at positions 112 to 704 of the family's 1533-position model. The record is from RNAcentral.
AAUGCUUAGGAAUCUGCCUAUUAGUGAGGGACAACAUUCCGAAAGGAAUGCUAAUACCGCAUACGCCCUACGGGGGAAAGCAGGGGAUCUUCGGACCUUGCGCUAAUAGAUGAGCCUAAGUCAGAUUAGCUAGUUGGUGGGGUAAAGGCCUACCAAGGCGACGAUCUGUAGCGGGUCUGAGAGGAUGAUCCGCCACACUGGGACUGAGACACGGCCCAGACUCCUACGGGAGGCAGCAGUGGGGAAUAUUGGACAAUGGGCGCAAGCCUGAUCCAGCCAUGCCGCGUGUGUGAAGAAGGCCUUUUGGUUGUAAAGCACUUUAAGCGAGGAGGAGGCUACUUGGAUUAAUACUCUAGGAUAGUGGACGUUACUCGCAGAAUAAGCACCGGCUAACUCUGUGCCAGCAGCCGCGGUAAUACAGAGGGUGCGAGCGUUAAUCGGAUUUACUGGGCGUAAAGCGUGCGUAGGCGGCUUUUUAAGUCGGAUGUGAAAUCCCUGAGCUUAACUUAGGAAUUGCAUUCGAUACUGGGAAGCUAGAGUAUGGGAGAGGAUGGUAGAAUUCCAGGUGUAGCGGUGAAAUGCGUAGAGAUCUGGAGG